AGAACGAACGCUGGCGGCAUGCCUAACACAUGCAAGUCGAACGGGCCCUUCGGGGCUAGUGGCGCACGGGUGAGUAACGCGUGGGAACCUUCCCAGUGGUGCGGAAUAGCUCAGGGAAACUUGAGGUAAUACCGCAUAAGCCCUUAGGGGGAAAGAUUUAUCGCCAUUGGAUGGGCCCGCGUCGGAUUAGCUAGUUGGUGAGGUAAUGGCUCACCAAGGCAACGAUCCGUAGCUGGUUUGAGAGAAUGACCAGCCACACUGGGACUGAGACACGGCCCAGACUCCUACGGGAGGCAGCAGUGGGGAAUCUUGGACAAUGGGCGCAAGCCUGAUCCAGCCAUGCCGCGUGAGUGACGAAGGCCUUAGGGUUGUAAAGCUCUUUUGCCGGGACGAUAAUGACGGUACCGGAGAAUAAGUCCCGGCUAACUUCGUGCCAGCAGCCGC
RNAcentral lists this ribosomal RNA (444 nucleotides) under uncultured bacterium. Its description in RNAcentral is "SSU rRNA". It matches the Rfam family "Bacterial small subunit ribosomal RNA", at positions 26 to 518 of the family's 1533-position model. The record is from RNAcentral.